CGCAUCUGUGCAUGCAGCAUAUCAAUAAGCGGAGGAAAAGAAACUAACAAGGAUUCCCCUAGUAACGGCGAGUGAAGCGGGAAGAGCUCAAAUUGAAAUCUUAAAGGGUUUCCCUUUACGAAUUGUAGUUUAAAGAAGUGUUUUCUGUUGAGGUUUUGGUAAAAGUUCUUUGGAAUAGGACAUCAUAGAGGGUGAGAAUCCCGUAUUUGACCUUUACUUUCAACUUUGUGAUACACUUUCAAAGAGUCGGAUUGUUUGGGAAUGCAGUCCAAAAUGGGUGGUAAAUUUCAUCUAAAGCUAAAUAUUGGCGAGAGACCGAUAGCGAACAAGUACCGUGAGGGAAAGAUGAAAAGAACUUUGAAAAGAGAGUUAAACAGUACGUGAAAUUGUCAAAAGGGAAGCGUUUGACACCAGUGUUGUUUUUCUGAAAAUCAAUUAAAGAACUGUUUAUGCUAAGUUGUUUAGACUUUAUCAGCUAACUGUUUAGUUUUGAGCUUUUCUUUAAUGCACUUUUCAGUUAACAAGUCAACAUCAAUUUCUUUUGCUGUAAAAAAGCUUGAGGAAGGUGGCUUGAGAUUCGUCUUAAGUGUUUAUAGCCUCUUGCCUAUGCAGUCGGAGAGAUUGAGGUCUGCAGCGUAGAUCCUUCGGGGCUAAAUGCAUUUGUGCUAAGUUAUAACAUUUUAUAGGACAACUUGUUGACUAUGAUUUGUCUUGUAGCUUACUCGCUUAUGUUAUUUUACCUACGCUUAGGAUGUUGAACGCGCACAGAGUCUC
This 774-nucleotide ribosomal RNA is filed under the name uncultured Neocallimastigales. RNAcentral describes it as "partial large subunit ribosomal RNA". It matches the Rfam family "Eukaryotic large subunit ribosomal RNA", at positions 26 to 614 of the family's 3401-position model. Lineage: Eukaryota; Fungi; Neocallimastigomycota; Neocallimastigomycetes; Neocallimastigales. The record is from RNAcentral.